Molecule: long non-coding RNA, 936 nt
Organism: Hevea brasiliensis (rubber tree)
Lineage: Eukaryota; Viridiplantae; Streptophyta; Magnoliopsida; Malpighiales; Euphorbiaceae
Exons: 2
Source: RefSeq, a predicted model, not a curated record
UCUUUCCUUCUUCUGUUUCUCCCAUCUCCAUAGAUUUUGGUGAUUUUUCCGCGUUUUAGUUUUCAAUAUUUCGAACUCUGAGCUAAAAGUACUUUUAUUUGCAUAUUUUUAUGUAUGAUGAUCACAGAAGAAAUGUGAAAACUGCUACGUAUUAUUGAGGUCUCAUCUCAGCAUGUUGUUAACGCUCAUGAACUAAAGGAGAUGAUGUAGCGAUAGGGCUUGCUUGUUGGAUUAUAUGGGUAACCAUGUGUUAAAAUCACUCUUCUAUCCGCGGUUUUAGAAUGGAUUUGCUAUCUUAUAUUACAUCUGUACUUUAGUAUUAAGGUAAAUACUUGCUAGCUUAGGAAAUGUAAAAUCUGAUGCUUAUACCAUUAGUGGCAUUGCUUCUAUGGUGAAAUUGGUUGCUUUGUAUAUCGCAAAACAGCAAUAUGUGUGUUGGCCGGGACUGUCCAUCUGAGUUUGUCUGCACAGCACAGCAUUAAUAUGUUUAUUAUUUUCUCAACUUGUAAUUCUUCUUUUUAGCUUGUUACAGUUUUGAGCAUAAUUUUAGGAUGUAGAUGAUAAUGAAGCAUAAGGAUUAGUGAGUGUUUUUCAUCCCAUAUUAAUUUUUGGAAGAUCUUUAUGUAUCAUAUUUGGUUACCUGAAUGGGAUCCUUUCAGAUGAUUCUUUGCAGCUAUUGAUGUUCUGCUUUUCAGUUUUUUUUUUUAUUUUAUUUUUAUUUUUUUUAUAUAUCACUUAUUGAGAGUAAUGAAGAGUACAUUUAUCAUCUCAUUAUCCUUUUCUAUAUGUUAUAUUUUUUCAAUAACAUGUUAGGACUACUCAUCAAGUUUCCAUCUAGAAUUGCAAAUUAGGACAAUGCAGACUUUGGCUCAGUGAAUAUUUCAUGCUUUUUUUUUCCCUUAUAUUUUUAUUCAGACAUCCAUUUUGUCUUUUCUU